Molecule: transfer RNA, 65 nt
Filed under: Limbodessus compactus
Lineage: Eukaryota; Metazoa; Arthropoda; Insecta; Coleoptera; Dytiscidae
Also listed under: 13 other names
Description: tRNA-Ser
Source: RNAcentral
AGUUAAUGAACUUGUUAAGUAUAUGUUUUGAAAACAUAAUAAAGAGUUAAACCCUCUAUUAACUU